CAACGCCAUGCAUAGGAAUCCCAUCCGUUCGCAAAUGCCACCCCUCCCCCCCCUCCCCCCUUUUUAUUUCACCAUUGUCCGUUUCAUCUUGCAUGCAUUCACGCUGGACUUUAAUUGCGUGCCUCCACGAUGGGCCGUUCUUUGCAUUCAAGUGUACCUGCAAUGUCGACGAUCGCCUCUCCAAUGGUGUGUGCGGACAAAUCGAGCACUUAAUGAGAUCGACACUUGGCUCUGGUGUCGUCCAUGACGUUUACUACUUAUCUAAAUCGUAGCUGUCGAAUUGCUGAUUUGGUGCCCGGUCCUUUAACUACAUAUUCGAGCCCUGCCUGGAAUGCGUUGCGCUUGGUAGAAUGGGCACAGGUACACGGCGCCGCGAUGUGGUGGUCAGUUGAAGUUGUGGCCUUGGUUUGGAUCCUGUUCUCACUGGCUGAUCGUUUGCACGCCGGCCUGGUAUAUAAGUCGGACUGAGGACCCGCAUGGCUACUCCUUCGCCUGAGAGCUCUGGCAUGUGACCAGCGCUAAAGAUUCUCAUCUAUUUAGCAGUGAAUUUUUUAUUGCAGUUAACAGCUCCAAAUUACUAGGUGAAUGGCGCGACGUGGACAACUGACUAAAUGCGAAGACGGCUUGCAUGAAUUUCGCUUGUACUAUCCCAGUGCUGGAAAGAAUCUUGUACCUGUACACACUGUGGCAGUCAUAACUUGCCUUGUCGGUGAAUGUGUCAGAUGAAUCCUUUAAUAACCCGUUCCGCGGAGGCCGGAUUCCGUUCUCAGAGUCUGCGCAGGUGGUUUUGCCGUAAACCGGAAUCUGGGCAACCCGAAAACCUCAGACACGUGAAAGCGGGCUACUUGCAAUGUGAUAUUCUGGUAAUAGUAACAUUGUAGACUUGUGAACCGUUAUUGUGGUUCAUGAACCUCAGUAUGCCAAAGAGAUGUUUCUAUUUUGGGCUGCCGCUGCUCACUAAGUAAAGUAUUUCUUGGAGUCAAAUAUUUCACUGUAAAUCCUGAUUCUCUGAAUGCCAGUGUCCUUCCAAUGUGAUUACAAUCAA
This is a non-coding RNA of Physcomitrium patens, 1045 nucleotides long. The record is from RefSeq and is a predicted model, not a curated record. Lineage: Eukaryota; Viridiplantae; Streptophyta; Bryopsida; Funariales; Funariaceae.